Non-coding RNA from Xyrichtys novacula (pearly razorfish), 7516 nucleotides. NCBI's taxonomy places the organism in Eukaryota, Metazoa, Chordata, Actinopteri, Labriformes, Labridae. The record is from the annotation of a GenBank genome assembly.
CGGCAGUUUGGUGACUUCAUCAGUAUCCUGACUUUCUCUGGGAACUGUCUCAUAAACAGCUGGAGUCACAGCAGGAGGUACACACACACACAAACACACAAUGCACAGUGUGUGAGUAAGUGUGACUUCAUAUGCCAUCACAAACUAAAGGUUUACUGCCCUGUUACACAUUCACCAACCUACGCUCGCACUUAAUCGCCUCACACAAGGUCAGGUUUAUUCAUUCGGGAACUGGCCACGCGUGACUGCUGGUGUAAAUGUUGUUGGUGUUUUCACGCUGAGACACCCAGGGGUGCACAGCAGGGAGAUCUACAUCUGAUGAUGGACUUCGUGUGCGCUGCAUGCAAAGCUAAGGCUGACUCACGAAACAAAAGAAUAGUAAAACAAUGUGACAUUUCCGUGACUUCAUAAGCACGUCAUUAAAGUCAUUAUCUACUCGAAAAGCUGCUGGGCGCCCGGUUAACAACUUUUACUGUUCCAUGCCACAGGGUAGGAUUUGUGCGGCUAUUUGAGGAAAACCUCGGGAGGAUGUGAUCUGAGACUUUUCGUUCUUGUCAAAACAGAGAGUGGAAAUCUCUGUUUGCGGUGACCUCUAUCGAGUCUCGUAAAAGUGGUUUUUUUCCACGACCCAGAAACAGCCAACACCAUUGUUUGGCGCUAAUGCAGGAAGUACAACGGAAAUUAAGAAUGAGUCAACAAUAGUCAAUAUCGAGGGCGUCCCGCUUGAAGGAAAAGUUUCUCUACAUCCACUCCAAAUUCUAUUUAUAGUUAACAGUUGUAUUUGCAAUUUUUCUGAUUUCAGGAUCUGAUAUUAAAAAAUCCCUUCAAACUGCAUAACCACGGCCUAUUUUCUUUCUUUCAUCCCUUUUGCCAUGUUGGAGUUUUGUGGACAAACCAAGCAGUAUCCUACAACAUCAAAUGGUGAAACCAAUGAUCAAAAGACUGCAGUUCUUGGAGUGUCCACUAGAGGCUGGCUCCCAAAGCCAGUUAGACUCCAUUCACACCAGUGUCAUUCAAGUCAAUUCAUUGUAGAUGUUUUUCAGGGGGUCUAGAUCCCCGUUUUGUGCCCAGAUCGAUCCAAAGUUAGUUUGAGCUCACGUUUCCAAUACAGCUGCCACUUGGACUACAUUAUCCCUCAGUGGAAACCAGUGGGUGGCGUAACUGAGACUGCACGUAUGGUUCAGUCUAUGGGAAAUGUUUGUAAGACACUUUAUACAUCAAAAAAUAAAAAAGUUUAAGCCACGUGUGUAACCUCUUUUUUACCCAUGUGUUUUUCAGUUGUGAUUUUUGGCGACUGUUGCUCCAACGAUGAAAAUGUUAUCACCAGGCGACGUAAAAACAGCAGUAAAGUCUGUUCGGGGUGCUGGUUUAGAGCCAGCUUUGGACCAGAGUGACUCAGAAGAGAGAUAUAUGAUCGUGAUGGAUGGGUGGAGAACUUGUUAAAUCCUUGUUUUUCGUUUCGUUUGAUGGAGGUCGUUGCGUAACAGAGGAAAAUAAAUGCUUUGCCUGAAUUCACCUUAAUGUACUGAAUGAAAACCAUGCCUGUUAAAGUGUAUAAAAAUGGGGAGUUUUUGUGAAACAAUUCAAAAUAACCAACCGCUGUGACUAAUGGAGCUAACAUGAUUUACUUUUCCGACUGUGGAUGUACAUUUGAUAUGUUUCCUCGAAAACUCGCCUGACACUACGACCCAGGGAAGAUGUUAUUUGGGGUUAGAUGGAAGUUACAGAUUUAUGAAGCCAAAUGUUCGUGUAGACAUUCAGAGUCUACGUGGGCAGCGGUGGUGACGGCUUACUUUUUGACCUGGCAUCCUUGGUGAAAGACUUUACAACGGUAAAUACUGUUGCACGCCAUUGGGGACAUGGCUGCCGCUUAUGUAAGGGGCUGUUUUGAGGAAGCGGCUCCUGUUUGGCCCCGAUGGCUUGAGGACAGCAGAUUCCCCAGCUGAUAAAGAAAAGUGCUUGGAAAGGCAGCGCAGGAAAAUACCUUUAAAUAUAUUAUGUAAUUGAAUAUCAGGGUUACAUACUGUGCAGCGUCGAAGCGACAGCGGUAAUUCCAAAGACUUGGGCCGUCACGUACAGACAGUGACAGGUGGGAAGAGCUUUAAAUCACGCUGAAGUAUGCAAAGACUCAAGCGGGCAUGAGGUGGUUGGUCUUCUGACACGUGAAGCUCCUGCAUCUUUUUCCUCAAGUGUUCGAUGGCCUCGCUGCGAGCUUCACAUUCCUCCCCUCCUCUCUGCUCUCAAAGUGGCCAAUGCCUCAGGCCCUAAGCCACAACCAUGGUUACAUAACCGGCGCUAAAGCUGUAUAUCUCAGCAACAUAUUUACCUGAAAUGGCUUGACCCCUGCGCUCUUGCCUGCAUGGGCAGCGACAGCCGCGUCUGACUUCUGGUUAUUCUUGAAUCAGCCUCCCCCAGCAAAAACGCACCACCUACUGUUGGCUAAAGCUGUUCUCCUGAUGCAGUUUUUCUUGUUUUAUUGAUAAAAAAAAUAAGAAGGUACCCCCACACUGCGCAAAGGGAUGUUUAUUCAGCUUUUAGUCGAGACUCUAGUCUGCUGAGGCCUUAAGGUAACACUGGUUCAGUUAAUCAGGGGCCAGCGACUCCCCUUGACAGUUCCACUCAGUUUGGGUUUAUUACCUUCACACAUACCAGAAGGAGGGAGGUGGGCUCUGGUAUUCUGCUGGGUCCUAUAACACUGAAUGCAGAAUGGAUUUCCGCCUCAUUGUUCCAGCUCAUUGUCAUGUAGCCAUGCACAAAGCAGGCUUGGACUCGUAGGUUUUGCUUUAUAUAAGAAGUGGACAUCUAAGGUCACCAUCUUGAGGAUUUUUGUUGAGAUGAUAAGGCUUCAAGUCUUGCUCUGUGGCUGCUUACCAACUUGUUUUUAACCAGAACUGACUGUGAUUGAAUAAGAGGUUAAAGACAGAGAGAGCGGCUUAUUAGUUGGUGAUUAACGGAGAUUCUUCUUCUUGGGUUGGCUGAACUAAUUGGACCAUUUAUUGAACCAAAUAAGCAAGAACAGCAAGAUAAAUGUAAAACAGUCAACACAAUUACUCUCUAUUGUGCAUAAUGCCUUUUAAAUACGUUUAUUAGAAACUCACGUGUUUUCUAAUUACUUUUUAUUGACAUGAUUUGUAUAUAUAUAUGUAUUUGUGUAUGUAUUGUUAUCACUGUUAUUAUCAUCACAACGUAGUUAUAUGACAUGGUAAGAAGGGGGCCGAUAAGCAUUUGCUUCUUCCUGUCCCUUCUUGAACAAUUAUGGUUGUGUUUUAUUAUUGUUGCUGAUGUAUUGGUGUUUUUUUUGUUGUUUAAGACAAAUAAAAUAGAAAAAAACACUUCAUCUUGAUCUGAGGUAGGCCAGUUUAGCAGCAGGACUCUUCUACUACAGAGCCAAGACUUUGAGUCCAUACAGGGAUUACAGAGUCAUGCCUGGGACCUGAUCGUCACGGCCGUACAAUAUCAAUCAUCUGCUUUGGUCUAUUUGUACAGUUUCUUCCAGAUCUUCCAAUAAUUUUUUAUUAAAUCCUCCAAUUCGUAGCAAAUUCACACACAGCAACUUUAUUCUAAAAAUGUUGAGCUAUUUGCUCUCGCAGUCUCUCACUGAAAGGAAAAUCUCUUCCUAUCUUUACUUCUAAGAGACUCAGCCUCUCUGUACUGUUCUUUUAAUAACCUGUCAUGGUAUUACAAUGGAUACUGUUCUUAUUUAUAUACAAAAACAUAGAAAUAUACAGUACAGGCCAAAAGUUUGGACACACCUUCUCAUUCAAUGUCUUUAUUUUUUUUUUAUAUGACUAUUUACAUUGUAGAUUAUUACUGAAGGCAUUAAAACUAUGAAUGAACACAUGUAGAAUUUUGUACUUAUAAAAAAAGUGUGAAAUAACCGAAAACAUGUUUUAUAUUCUAGUUUCUUUAAAAUAGCCACCCUUUGCUCUUGAUGACAGAAGUACCUUGUCAGGGUUACUUCAGGCACUCCUGUGAAGUAAAAACCAUUUCAGGUGACUACCUCAUGAAGCUCAUUGAGAGAACAGCUAAAGUUUGCAGCGCUAUCAAAAAAGCAAAGGGUGGCUACUUUGAGAAAUCUAAAAUAUAAAACAUGUUUUCAGUUAUUUCACACUUUUUUCUUAAGCACAUGAUUCCACAUGUGUUCAUUCAUAGUUUUGAGAAUCUACAAUUUAAAUAGUAAUGAAAACAAAGAAAAUGCAUUGAAUGAGAAGGUGUGUCCAAACUUUUGGCCUGUACUGUAUAUAAUAGACACCAGCAACUAAUAAAAAAACUGCAGUUUUUGCCACGUCCUUGCUCCAAAAAUGGUAUAUUUGCAAUAAGCUGACUUUUAUUAUCGGUUAAUUUUUAAGGUCAACUCUGCCGAGGUGUUGCAAAAGUAGUGAUAAAGUAUACCCAUAACUUUCUCUUACAAAAUAGAUUUACUGUGUUGUUAUUAUAGAGGGAUUUUGUGCCAUAGUAGAUGGCAGAGCUCUCUCGUCUGUCUGAUGCUCGAGCUAAUGUGUAGUAUUUGGAAAAAGGAGCUGAAAUGUGUCCCCGGUGGACCCUGAGUUUGCAGAGGGUAUAAACUCUCAGGUAGGAAAAACACUGAGGAUAUGUCGUUAAAAACGUCGAGGGAGCGCAACACUUCAGAGAGCGGCGUAAGCUCAGCCGGUAACUCACUCAAAUCCUGUCUCUGAACGUCUGCCUCUGGUACCAUCACUGAUCCUCCUCAGACGCCGGCCCACACGAUAGCCGUCAAAACACAGCGAGAAGGCAUGCUUAGAUAAUUACUGUGUAAAUCAUGCCAAUCAAUUACGCCAGCGAGGGAGGUAAGGAAAACAGUCUGAUGAGGCCCUCAGUGGAAAACAAGUCUAGUGGCACACUCACACCUAUGAGUUUCACACUGGUGCACAAAAACACUCAAAUAAGGGCUCAUCUGUGCAGACACAUGCACGACUCACGUGCAGAAAUGAGACACCAUCACUCAUCCUCCGCUUAGGGUGUCAGAAAAAGUGUACAAAUGAGUAAAAAUGUCUUAUUUUAUGGUUUUAUGAAUGGGGUCGCCCUUUCAGCCGUGAGGUUAAGAGUCUGGGGCGGUUCACACUCAGUGUUGUAAUUCUACGAGUUUGUCAGAAAGCAUGUGUGAUGUUUAUGUGUGUUUUCCUGCAGCUUGAAAGCACAGGAGUGACAUCAGCUCUCGCAUAUUUCAGGAGUUGAUGUUUCUUCGUCGUAUUUCUACUGUCCCGAGACGCCCGGCAUGAGAACGUUCCUUGAGUGUGUGCAAACAGAGUUAUGUAAUUGUACCACUGCGAUGAUAAAUGCGAAGAGGCUGGGAUGGGAACCUCGCAGCCGUCUACGUCAGCGCAAACGAGCGCCUGGCCGCUCUUUCUAAAUCAUUUUGUGUUUCUAACAGAGAUAAGGAGGGGGAUGACGGAGCCGAGUGCGUGAGCCAAAGAGGACAAGGGGUGUAAACCACUGAAUGAGAUCGAACAAGAACAAGCGCGUCCAAGAAAUGACGUCUGCUGGCCCAGGCCAAUACAAGCGCAGAGGACACCAGUGACAAAGCCGUCAGCUCAGAGGAUUUUCCACCUUUCACUUUUCCUAGACUAAUUUUGCUCCAGAGAGCUUUGUGGUGUACCGUCCUUGUCUGUACAUUCUGCAGACAGCACACAAUCUGAGGGAUGCGCACAGAUACUUGGCCGGCGGUCUGGUUGUUAUACACACUCAGCACAUCUCCCUGACUGUCCAAGCCACACAUUUAAUCUCUGCAGAAGGAUGUCUGUCCAACGUAGAGAAUGAGGGUCUGAAAUAUUCCUCCGCCGUGAUGCAGAUGAUGACAUUCUUGCCCGUAAAACUAUCAACGAUUUAUGAAGUUUCAGUCAAAAGAGAGAAAUGUGGAUUUCAUAAACAGGAGGCAUCUGAUUCUGUAGGAUCUGCAUGAGAUGUCGAUACUCUGGAGAUAUGUCGCACCUUGGUUGAGGUUUUAGGCAUCCCUGAUUGAUCAAUGACUUAAUGAAAUGUGCAUUAAAUGAAUAGGCUACUGGAAUUUUAAAAAAUAGUCAUGUAAAUAAGUGCAGACAUAGUUUCUUUAAAGGUUAUCUUUGCAGAGAGUUGGGGUUAUUCAUUUGAAAGUGAAGGUUUUUACAUGUUUACAAAAGCCUGACUGAUAUUUUAGUGCAAAUUUCACAGGCUUAUCUGGCUUUACAGCAUGUAAACUGAAUGAUGAGCAUGCAGAAAGAAUAGUUUCAGAUGUCUUUUAUCAGGUUAACUGUUAUGAGGUGGUUGCAUGAGUUUGUAAAUGUUUUGCAGGACCUUGCAUCAUAAACUGGGGGAGAAUAUCAGUAAAUAUGGCACAUAUCAUCGUUUUUGGCUCUCUGUGCAUGUUUUGUGGGGGUAUAGGGUGACCAUAUUCUGAAUCCCGAAAAAGAGGACACACCUAUGCGAGGGCGGAGUCACGGAGUCGCACAGAGUUAAUUUUGAGAGUUUUUCGGGCUGGAUUGAGUGUCUUUUACACGCUUCUAACUCAGUAAGUCCAUGAGACACAAACUUGAAACUUCCAUACAAAACCUCUGACAUUUGAAGGACAAAGCCGGACAAUGCUGGACAGCCCCCAAGAAAGAGGACAUGUCCAGGUAAAAGAAGACGUAUGGUCAUCCUAUGCUCAAACUGGAAAAAAAAAGGGCUAAGAAGGAUUUUGAAGAUGCCACCUUGUGGGCAGGGGGUAGUGUCACCAUGACAACAAACUUUUGAAAUGAAAGCUCUAACUGUGGGUUCAGCACAAGUAAUCCUACAGGAGACUCCAGCAGACAAAUUUCUACUCUGGCACAGAACAUGGAGGUUUUCUUUUGGUCAAUGACUCGAUGUUGUCGACCGUAGUGGACAUGUUUAUCCACAGGCAUUGCUUUUCUCUCUCACUCAAUGGAAGCAUGAAUGACUACCUGAGUAUAGACAGACCGACAUGCCUCCUGUGCUGAUACUGCAGUCUAAUGGAGAUGCAGGUAACAAAAAGCUGCUUUCUCAGUCCUAUCAAGGCCACUUGAACCAUUUGACCCAACCUAAACUACAGAUUAUCCAAGAAUCCAAAUACUCUAAUAUAUUUUCAGUUCAUCAAAUGAUGAAUUUUACACUCAGCAAUGAAUAGCUGCAGCCUUGGUUCAUUCAGUGUCACAUUUUUUUGUCCUUUCCCUAUUAUAAAACAGAGUACAAUCAGCUGCUUCAUCAAUCAGAACAGCUCUUGACUUUGCAUCGUCUUUCCUCUCAGACUCGGUCCAAGUGAAAUUUCCCUGCCACACGCGACCGGAGUCGGCAGCAGUUAUUGUUGAGGGCGGUCUCGCAAUCCUGGAAGUGAACGGCUGCAGCGAGGCCCCCGACACCCAGCCCAAGAAUGCAAGGUGCAAGAGCAGCAAUUUCCCCUUUUCGCCGGCUGUCUUAACACGCCACACACAGAGGCCAUCAUUACCGAUCGAGCACACUCCCACUGAGAGGAGGCCUGCGUCCAACUAGAGCGUGAAAGGAGAGGUGCAAUGAAAGGAAGAGC